GGUUAAGUUAAUAAGGGCGCAUGGUGGAUGCCUUGGCACUAGAAGGCGAUGAAGGACGUGACUAACUACGAUAUGCCUCGGUUAGCUGUAAGUAAGCUUACCCGGGGGUUUCCGAAUGGGGCAACCCGAUCUUAAUGAUCAUCAUCUUUUUGAAUUCAUAGAUUAGAUGAAGCAAACGCUGUGAACUGAAAC
Molecule: ribosomal RNA, 192 nt
Filed under: Enterococcus faecalis
Lineage: Bacteria; Bacillati; Bacillota; Bacilli; Lactobacillales; Enterococcaceae
Description: partial 23S ribosomal RNA
Rfam family: Bacterial large subunit ribosomal RNA
Source: RNAcentral